This is a long non-coding RNA of Gekko japonicus, 474 nucleotides long. RefSeq lists it as uncharacterized. The transcript has 3 exons. Lineage: Eukaryota; Metazoa; Chordata; Lepidosauria; Squamata; Gekkonidae. The record is from RefSeq and is a predicted model, not a curated record.
CAGGGAUGCAAGGGCAGUGUCAAGCAUUAAACCAGUUCUGUUUAGACACACAGGAGAGUGAUGGCAGAACCAGGGACAAUCCCAUAUUCCCGUUUGGUUGUACCUGUGCUUCUCUUGCUUGGCUGGCUUGCAGGUUGCGUAUUAAUGGUGUACUAUGUCUUCUCUUAAGAGAGGGGAAGAAGCCAUUGCAAAGGAAUCUUCAAUCUAGAUGAAGACAGCUAUUUCUUUUUUAAAAAAGAAAUGCUAAAGCAAUUAUGUUUCAAUACAUUUCCAGCACCAUCAUAAUAUAUGCACUUGCCUGCUGAGUAUCUAGCACACGGAUUCUACAGUAGUUUUGUAAAUUAAAAUAACUUUAAAUUAAAACUGCACUGGGCAUUUGGUGGUGGCACCCUUUGUCUUGUGGCUAUUUUUAUUUCAUCAGCCAUAAAAAUAGACAUUUAUGUGUUCCAUGUAUUCCACCAUAAUUUAACAAUC